This 339-nucleotide ribosomal RNA is filed under the name uncultured eukaryote. RNAcentral's name for it is "partial 18S ribosomal RNA". It matches the Rfam family "Eukaryotic small subunit ribosomal RNA", at positions 592 to 976 of the family's 1831-position model. The record is from RNAcentral.
CAAUAGCGUAUAUUAAUACUGUUGCAGUUAAAAAGCUCGUAGUUGAAGCUAACAGAGAUUUUCUCUGUGAUACAAGGAUAGUUUCAUCCCAUUAAUUUGGGGUGUUUGCGAACCUUGUCGUUUACCGUGAAAAAAGUAGGGUGUUCAAAACAGGCGAUCGCUCGGAUAUACUAGCAUGGAAUGAUAGAUACGACCUUGGUCGAAUUUUGUUGGUGUUGACUGGGGUAAUGAAUAAUAGGAACAGUCGUGGGUAUCCGUAUGAGCAUGUCAGAGGUGAAAUUCUUGGAUUUUGCUCAGACGAACCACUGCGAAAGCAUUUACCAAGAAUGUUUUCAUUAA